Long non-coding RNA from Manis pentadactyla (Chinese pangolin), 3755 nucleotides. RefSeq lists it as uncharacterized. NCBI's taxonomy places the organism in Eukaryota, Metazoa, Chordata, Mammalia, Pholidota, Manidae. The transcript has 4 exons. The record is from RefSeq and is a predicted model, not a curated record.
CUUCAUGUGCUUGCAGCUUCCCCCUUGCGCGCUGCCUGUUUGCAGGGUUUAGGGGGACGGUGGCAGCAGGACUCCUGGGCAGCAAAGCGGAGGAAAGCCACAGGCACGCCGACGCCCAGCCUGAAGGAGCGGAGCCUGCCCUGCGUCUGCGUCUGCAGUCAGCUCCGCGUCCUGAAGCCUAACCCUGGGCCAGAUUCAGCACAGAGCAGGGGGCGGACACACACUCCGUAAAUACUACCUCUUGAUCAAAGGAAAGAAGCUGCCACUGGUCCGGAUUUUUACUGCAUGUGAGUGAACCCCAGGAGGUAUCUGCCUUCGGAAGAGGGUGCCAAGACCCUGCACGGAAAUUGAAUCCAAGUCUUAUGGCCAAACAUUAUGAAGAAAAUCAUUAAGGCCUCUGUGCAGAAUUUCACUUAUUUUUCAUCAGUGAAGCAAAGGAGUAGGAAGCACUCCAGGAAUGGUUAAGAGUGUAGACUCUGCUUGGCUCUGGUUGAAAUUCUGCCUCUGAACUUAUUAGCUCUAUGACCUCAGCUAAGAUCAGUUCAAAGAAAAAUGGAACUAAACAAUACAAAAAGAAAAUGCCUUCGGCUGCUCAGGAAAGUGGGACAGGGAGAAAGGGGAGGAAUCAGAAGCUCCUAUCUGGUGCCGGCUUCUAAAACCACUGAUCUGGAGAUUGUGUUUAUCACACUUCAAACCAACAUGGCUAAAGUUCAAAUACUCAUUAGGACACUAUAAAACCCUUCCUGGGUUUAAAUGAGAUGGAAUGGUGCAUAACCUCCCAGGUAUAGGGCACAGAACACCAAAACAUGAAGGUGGCUGGAGACCUGCAGGGACUCUUGGUGAGGCUGGAGUGUGAAAGGCAGCUUGGAACAGGGUGGAAAAGGAGGGAAAGGCCAGAUGACAUGGGGUCUGAAUGGUGCAAAGCACCUCCUAAGCCCCUCCUGCUGCCAGAGCCUUUCCAGUUCCCAUGUUUAGCAUCAUCCACAUGAGCCCUUUAAUGUCUUAAAUCCAGUGACAAGUGGACUCACAUGGGGUGCGUGUUCCCUAAACCACUCCUAUUCUGGUGCAGUGGCAGCCACAGAGCAGCUUUGCCCCCAGACAUUUUUGAUGGAAUAUUCCUAAUAAUUACUAAUGUUUUCCUGUCUGAUGAAUGAGAAACAAAACACUCUCAAAUUCAGUAAGAAAAAAAUCCCUGCCAUCUCUUGCGGAGAGGCAGGGGCCAUUCAGGAGGUCCCUAAACAAAAGAAAACUAUGGAGCUCAGUGAAGAGGAUUAAACUGCCCCAUCCAUCAAAGGGGAAGAAUAUAAAUCCAUAGAUGAUCCCUGAAGAUGUCAGUGGACCCCACUAUCUAUCUCGGAAUAUCAGAGCAGAGUUCGUGUGGGUCUCAGAGAUGAGCCCUAAUUCACAGCUCACACUCUGCCCAGGGCCCAGUGCUACCCAGCAGACAAAUGGGCAGACCAUCUCCUCCAGUGCAGCCUGCAGAAACAAUAUUUAACACAUCAGAUCCCAAGAAGAGCUUGAGAACUGAAUUGGUUUAGUUGUUCAACGUAGAGAAAACAAAACCAUUCUAAACUCUCGGAUAGCAUGGCUUAACAUGCUACCCAAUUACAUCAGUGAGCCCAUGGAGUGAACUUGCCCUCCAAGUUCAUUUGACUAUCACAUUGUUUAAAAUAUAUAUAUAUAUAUAUACAUGAUCUGCCCUUGUUAAAAAAAAAUACAUUGUUAAAAAAAUAACCUAUAUGUGAUCUGUCAACAUUUUAAAAUCAGGAAAUUUCAUAUAAUACAGAGUUCUGGCUUAAAAAAUAAUGAAAUGGGACAAUCCUGCAGAAUGGUCCACAUUCUGUCAGCAGAAAUGAAAUCUCCCCUUUAUUAGGGCAUGCAGUGUCCCUAGAAACCCACUGUACUGAUUUAUGUAUUUGCCUGGCCCCUAUAGUAGACACUGAGUUGGUAAUCCUUGAGUCACAGAUCACACAAGUAAAUAUAGUAACUAAAUAUCUCACUCUUCUCCAGCUUAUAGAAGAGAUUGACAGACAUUUUCUUUCUUCCCUUUCCUUGAACUUUGCUAGCUGAAAAAAAAAAAGCCAAUAAAAAGAAUUCAAUGUUUUUUAAAGAAACAAAAAUCAUAUUGAGUUGGAAACAUAAGGGAUAAUUCUACUUUUUUUUGCUACUAAUGAGUCCAUUUGAAUUCUUUUUGGAAUGAAUAAGAGAAUUUAUCUGUUUGCAAGGGUGGAGUAGAAAGUGGGGGGUUUAUCUUAUUCUCUAGAAAAUCUUCAGCUGAAGCCAGAAUCUCCCCAACGAUGAGCAGAAUUAAGGAGAAGCAGGAGAUCUAUAGAAAUGCAAAAUUUCCCUGUCAUAAGAAUAAACCCUAGAAGAUUAAUUUUUAGCUUCAACAUAGAAUGAAGUUAUAGCUCUUUGACAAAUGAUGUUCUUUGCUGUCAUGACAACAGGGCCUGUCGGGAGGGGUGCAUAAAGAGCCCUGCCCAUAAAUCAGAACAUUUUAGGAAGGGGUUAAAACAAACAUCUCUAGACUAUUCCCAAGAUGUAGUGCCAAAAAUGUAAUUAUAGACAUUUGUAUCAGUCUGCCAUAAAGCAUGACAGCUCCAAUUUUACAAAAUGUUAAUUAAAAAAGUCGAUUAAACCCAUGUCCCCCUGAGAGAAAUUAAUAUCACACCUAAGGUUGGGAGUCAGUGCAAGUCAGAGACUGUGAAAAUUGGAUGACAGAGUCAGAAAGGUAUGCUUAAAAGCAGACUAAUUCAUGAGCAGUUUAGUUAAGAGCUUGGGUUAGAUUCUGACCCUCAAGAGAAGAAAUGUGGAGGACCAGGUAGCAACACUAACAGCCUUUCCGGAAGCUUGAGAGAACAGAAAACAGUCAUUAGAGAUUCGGAAAAGGAAUUAGAAAGAAAAACUGACAUUCAGGUUAGUUCACCUGAAAAUACAGGAAUGGAACACAAAAGAAUCAUCUGAUCUUGGAGGACACAGGAAGAGGUAGUAACCACUAGCAACUUACAGUGAGAGCAGAAAAAAUGGGAAUUAGCUUAAAACCAAACAUUGAAAAAGUGCUUCUCAAGGAAAAAAUCGUGAGUCUCCACUCCAAGGGUCACAAGAGACAAGUUCUGUCUGGCCUGUGCAGUGUUCUUUUAAGAAUGUACAGUGUUUGCCAACAUCUAAACAUUAGGAGAUUGCACACAGAAUUCUGGCUUCUUCUCUUUCAGAAGAAGAUGACUCGGUCUCAGUAGGCCUGGAUACCCAUGUGGUGACUGGAGGUGGGUUUACAGAAUAGAAGUUCCAUGAUGACAAAGGGUUUGCACUGUUGAGCCCUGUGGCCUUCACACAAUGUGGGGCACAUAGAGAAUACUCGAAGAAUGGUUGAAUGAAGGAGUGGGCAGCAGCUGUCCUCUUUAAACAGACACACACUCUCCAGGGGGCUCGCCCACCCACACUGUUACCUACCUAGCUCCCAAUUGGCUUUUGAGUUUUUCACUUUGCUCUGUGCCGUAAGUUUUUCUUUAGUUGGGACACCAUGUUGCCUCUUGCCAUGAAUUCCCUAUAGAAUCCACCCAAAGGGCACACAUGCAAGCUGAUGAAGUGAAAUGACAAUACAAUACAGGCGUACCCCAGACACAGGGCAGGUUCAAUGCAGACCACCCCAGUGAAGCUAGCAUCUCAGUAAAGCAAGCCAGAUGAAUUGUUUGACUUUUCAAUGCAUAUAAAGUUCUGCUUACACUAUACUGUAGUCUAAAUGUAUUCAGCAGCAU